UUAAGUACCAAGCUCUUGAUUGGAUCCAAUCCUAGACAUGCCCACAACCAUUGCCACACUUUGGUGCGAGGUUAGGUUUUGAGAAAAACGAGUUGGAAUUCAUUUAAGUAGAUAUUUUUGAUAAAUCGAUUAAUUGUAUCGUUGCAUUAUUUUGAAAGCAAGUAUCGUUUUGGAAACGCCCCCUAAGUCUAACCCAUUUUGGAUUGUUAUCAGUAAAAUAUAGGGUAUAAAAUAAAAUAAUCCCAGAAAAAUAAUUAAAAUGGCCUUAUUACAACCUAAAACCAAAACAUAAUAUUAAUUAAGAUAAAACUUAUAAAGAAAUAAAUUGGCUACUUAUUGCAAUUAAAAGAAACAAAAAUAGUAGUGUGGCCAUCUCCGAGUCCCUUGCAGCUCCAAACCAUCUAAGCUUAGGGAUUACCUACACAGUUAGAAACGGGGUGAGUUUACGAAAACUCAGUGUGUAAUCCUAAUAACAUACAAACAGUGAAAACCCAGUAUCAGUACAAUCUGGGCCAAAGCCCUAUUUAGUCUUGACAUAUACUGGGCCGAAGCCUUUCGUUUAAUGGUUACAGGGUCGAAGCCUUUUCAUAAAUCAUAUCACUGGGCCGAAGCCUUUACUGUAAACGGUAUGGCCCAUAAGCCCAUUUCAAUAUCACAUGUAAUGUCAAUGGAUGUAUGCAAGCCCAUUUCAAUAUCACAUGAAAUACCAAUGAAUGUAUGCAAGCCCAUUUGGGGAGACUACUCGACCCACCGUUCACUACUCUCCACCCGUACCAACCAAGCUCUCCAUGUGGGGAAUAACUCAACCCACCCAACCAAACUCUCCACUGGUAGCAUAGCUGCUUUAUCAUAUAACUGGAGGCCUAGCCUCUUUUAAUAACUGGGGCAAAGCCCUUUCUGAUAAACUGGGGUAAAGCCCUUUUCAAUAAACUGAGGCAGAGCCCUUUUUGCACUUCCUCCAUCAAUAUAACCCAUAUCCCAUGCAAUAUGUCAUGUAUGCAGAAUGUCAUGCCCAUAUUUGCAUCAAACAAUCACAGUCAAGUCAUUCAUAUCACCAACAUAUAUUCACAAUCAAAUCCGUCAACCACACAGUCCAAGUCAGUCACUUGCCCACAAGGGCAAAACAGUCAUUUUUCUUAUUAUAAGGGUAAUUUCGUAAUUUUACCAAAUAUCAGGUUUUCCAUGUUCAUUAACAAUUAUCAAUAUUUUCGAGUGUUUAAACAAUGAUCUUUAACCCACUUUAUCAAAUUCGGGCUUUUGGGCCCAAAACUCCUAAUGGGCGCUACGAAUGCUGAUUUAGCCCACUAAGCCUACUUAAUCCAAAUUUUACAACAGUACUAACCGUGUUAACAUGCAACUUUUCCAGAUUCCAUUUUCUAUCAGUUUUACCCAAAUGGGCCCGAUUCCAGCCCAUUGAGGCCCAACUUACCAUCGUGCACAAAAUUGCGCUCUUACCUGCUCCAUCAUCCAAACACUGAUCAUAUUGUAUCUAUUGCAUCUUUAAGAAAAGGCAAAAUCACAAGUUCCCGAAAUGUCAAAAUUUUAGCUUUUCGGCUUUUCGGCGAAUAUUAAUCUAAGCUACUGCGAGGGUUAUUACACACCUGUUAUGGGUUGAAGUUGAAACGUUUCCAAAAUCAAUCACCUACAAUAACCACCACCUAUCACUCAAACUUAACUAAUCCAAUAUCAAUAUAUGUAAAUCCUAAGCACAUCAGUCAUACGAAACAUAAGGGCAUAUUCGUCAUUUUACCAUACAAGGGUAUAACGGUCACUUUACCCUACAGGGGCUUUACGGUCUUUUUACCUAUUAGGGGUAUUUUAGUCAUUUCAUCCUACAAGGGUGUUUUGGUAAAUCUACAAACCAAGGGUAUUUCAGUAAUUUUGUAAACCAAUGGUAUUUCUAUAAUUUUUAAAAAGUCAAAGGUAUUUUUGUAAUUUUGUAAAUCUGGGGUAUUUUGGAAAUUUUACAAAUUAAGGGUAUUUUGGUAAUUUCACAAACCAGUGGUAUUUUGGUAGUUUUACAAACUAGGGGUAUUUUGGUAAUUCUACCGUAUAGGGGUAUUUCAGUAAUUUCACAAUCGAGGGUAAAACAGUAAUUUUGUAAAUCAAGGGUAAAAUAGUAAUUCUGUAAAUCAAGGGUAAAAUAGUGAUUCUAUAAAUCGAGGGUACUUUGGUAAUUUUACAAGUCGAGGGCAUUUCUGUAAUUGGUAAACUAUUCUAAACAGGGAUAACAAUACGAAUGGUCCUAAAGCCCAUUCUCGGCCCAAAUGGGCCCACACGCUCGUGUAGCCUUUUUAGCCCAAAUCUAGCCACAAAUAUGAGAUUCAGCUAGCCUAGUCCAAUAUUUACUACACAGUCAAACAACUUAUCCAAUUGGGCUCGUAGGCCCAUUGGGCCCACAUGGCCCCUUUCGGCCCAUCGCGGCCCGAAGUAGCCAUCCUAUAACUAGAGUAGUGAGAAAUACACACCUGAUAGGAGACUGGAGUUAAUCCACGCUCCGAGCACUCUUAGCCGACGCCCAACCCAAACGAGCAUGCCAUACAGCGAAAGGGAUCAGCCAAGAAAGGGU
This 2569-nucleotide long non-coding RNA is filed under the name Gossypium barbadense (sea-island cotton). Its description in RNAcentral is "long non-coding RNA (GBAR_LNC010581)". The record is from RNAcentral. Lineage: Eukaryota; Viridiplantae; Streptophyta; Magnoliopsida; Malvales; Malvaceae.